GGGGGCCCGCACAAGCGGUGGAGCAUGUGGUUUAAUUCGAAGCAACGCGAAGAACCUUACCUAGACUUGACAUCCCCUGCAUAACCCAGAGAUGGGCGAAGUCCUUCGGGACAGGGUGACAGGUGGUGCAUGGUUGUCGUCAGCUCGUGUCGUGAGAUGUUGGGUUAAGUCCCGCAACGAGCGCAACCCUUAUCAUUAGUUGCUACCAUUAAGUUGAGCACUCUAGUGAGACUGCCCGGGUUAACCGGGAGGAAGGUGGGGAUGACGUCAAAUCAUCAUGCCCUUUAUGUCUAGGGCUACACACGUGCUACAAUGGUGAGUACAAAGAGAUGCAAGAUUGCAAGGUGGAGCCAAACUCAAAAACUCAUCCCAGUUCGGAUUGUAGGCUGCAACUCGCCUACAUGAAGCCGGAGUUGCUAGUAAUCGCGAAUCAGCAUGUCGCGGUGAAUACGUUCCCGGGCCUUGUACACACCGCCCGUCACACCACGAAAGUUGGCAAUACCCGAAGCCGGUGGGCUAACCUCUUUGAGGAGGCAGCCGUCGAAGGUAGGGUUGAUGAUUGGGGUGAAG
Molecule: ribosomal RNA, 570 nt
Filed under: uncultured bacterium
Lineage: Bacteria
Description: bacterial SSU rRNA
Rfam family: Bacterial small subunit ribosomal RNA
Source: RNAcentral